ACGCUCGACACCUACGGGAGGCAGCAGUGGGGAAUAUUGCACAAUGGGGGAAACCCUGAUGCAGCAACGCCGCGUGAAGGAAGACGGUUUUCGGAUUGUAAACUUCUGUUCUUAGUGAAGAUAGUGACGGUAGCUAAGGAGCGAGCCACGGCUAACUACGUGUCAGCAGCCGCGGUAAUCUGAGCGGGCUGGCAAGGC
This 198-nucleotide ribosomal RNA is filed under the name uncultured bacterium. RNAcentral's name for it is "partial 16S ribosomal RNA". It matches the Rfam family "Bacterial small subunit ribosomal RNA", at positions 328 to 539 of the family's 1533-position model. The record is from RNAcentral.